CCUACGGGAGGCAGCAGUGGGGAAUAUUGGUCAAUGGGCGAGAGCCUGAACCAGCCAAGUAGCGUGAAGGAUGACUGCCCUACGGGUUGUAACCUUCUUUUAUAAAGGAAUAAGGUGAGUCACGUAUUCCUUUUUGUAUGUACUUUAUGAGUAAGGAUCGGCUAACUCCGUACCAGCAGCCGCGGUACGACGGAGGAUCCGAGCGUUAUGCGGAUUUAUUGGGUUUAAAGGAAGCGUAGAUGGGUUGUUAAGUCAGUUGUGAAAGUUUGGGGCUCAACCGUAAAAUUGCAAUUGAUACUGGCAGCCUUGAGUACAGGUGAGGUAGGCGGAAUUCGUGGUGUAGCAGUGAAAUGCUUAGAUAUCACGAAGAACUUCGAUUGCGAAGGCAGCCUACUA
Molecule: ribosomal RNA, 396 nt
Filed under: uncultured bacterium
Lineage: Bacteria
Description: partial 16S ribosomal RNA
Rfam family: Bacterial small subunit ribosomal RNA
Source: RNAcentral